CAGUAUGUUGAAGUGGACUAAGCUUGUUAUUAAGCAAAUAUUCUCUAAAACGUCUUAUAGUAAACACUCGAGGCAUAAAAUGAUUAUUUUUACGACAAAUUAGUUCAUUUCCUGACCCUAAAAGCUUGUGUGCUGUUAUUUAGAUAAUCAGUAACUCGCUGCUUUUAGCUUUUAGAUCUCCAAUGGCUGAGAAAAGGUUUCCCUUGUUCGAUAUAGUUCGCCCACAUGCAGGCAUUACAGAAAAGCCCUUUUCAAAAAACCCCUAGGAGUUGUAUGUUUUUACUAUAUCUUGCAUUUUGAUGCGAUGUGACCUGUCGAUUUGAUCUGGUCUGAUUACUAAGUAUCCCAUGCAUGAAGAAAGACUAGAGCUCUGAUCCUGGUUUUGUUGACAUUUUCAAGGACGCACCUUUGACAACUGUUCUGCCGGUUAACUUCCCCGUCAGAAGCAGAUUAUCUUGGAUUUAUCCCUAUUGUUUUGUAAAGUCAGGUUGGACAUUUCGGCAUGGCGUAUCACGAAUUUUGACUCUUUAAACACUUCAAGAUGUCGAACUCCUCAAACUCGUCUACAGCGGAGUUUUCUUGUGAUGGAAUGGGCAGACCGUCAGGCUCGGCAACAACCGUCCUUAUUGCAUUUUCUUAUGCGGUCUUAAUCCCUUUGAUCGUCUUUGGCAAUGGCCUUGUCGUUAUAGCNUUUGUUAUAAACCAAAAGCUUAGAACGGCUACUAAUAUAUUUAUUUGUGGUCUGGGUUUGAGUGACCUUCUAAUUGGUGUCUUCUCACUGCCAUACUGGACGUACAUAUCNACUUUGAAUUCNCUCAUGGAUGCNUAUUGCGAUCCGCUAUACGAAGUUUACAUUUGUAUUGAUAUAGGGACUGGAUGUGCAUCAAUACUCCAGUUGACAUCUAUAGCAAUUGAGAGACUGUAUUUCACGGUAGCCCCACUUAAACACCGUCGAUUAAGAAGGUCAGUUUACUGGUACAUGUUAGCGAUAGCAUGGAUUUUUUCCAUACUUGCAGCUGGCCUGCAACCUUUGCAGGCAAAAUCAAAUUGGCACAACCAAUACAGCUUGUUUCUCUUUGUAUCUUGUUUCCUGUUCCCNCUCAUCAUCAUCAUUGUGGUUUACGCAUACAUAUUUAAAGUCAGCAGAGAUCAAUCUCGAAGAAGAUCCAGCACGCAAANUAGAAUAGGUUCAACUGGAGGAAACAUUAAAGAAUUCAACAUGUUCGUGACGGUGCUGGUAAUCACUGGAGUGUUCAUCAUCGCUUGGGCACCAUUUUUUAUGACAACUGUCAUUGCAACCUUUUGCCCUCUUUGNAUUNUUCGAAUACAAAGUGAACACUUAAUACGCUUUGUGAAGUGGAUGCAAUAUAGUUCAAGCGCUAUUAAUCCUUAUAUCUACGCGUAUCGUAACGAAGAAGUUCGAUCCUUUUUUAAGAAGGUUUUACGGNUUUGUUUAUGCAACGGUUGUCAGGAUGUGUCUCGACGAGCGUCGCAGAGCUCCUCGAGUCAGACACAUCGUGGAAAGCAUAACAAUAACAACAAAAAUAGUUCCAGCCAGACAGCGAGUAAGGAAAGCGUGGAAAAUGGAACAAUAGUUAAUCGGCUUCCACAGAGUCUGGCCAGCGAGGAUAUUCCUGAAUGUUAUUCGCGAAGAGUGCCAAUAAGUAGCCCCAGUGACGGCAGAUUGAAAGACAUUCAGAAUUGUUUNGAUAAUCAAGGAUUCACAUAUCCAAAUGUAUCAAAGCAAAGGAAUGAUGAAAGCGAUCAAUAUGUAUCUAAAUACAAUCAGAAAAUACAAGCAAAGUCACCAGACAUUUGCACACAGGAUGCCGAACGGAAAAACACACGGNAAACUUGUNUCGAUAGUGAACGUUUGGCAAAUCCAAAUUNACCNCAGAAACGUACCGAAAAAGUGAAUAAAUCACCAGAAAGAAACUGGCAAAGAAAAGAAGAUCAUACACGAAGAUCGAAUGAAUUCCGCAAUGAAAGAAGACGCGAUUUCUCUGAAAAACAAAGCGAAAAACAAACUGAAAGACGAAAAAAAUCAAGCAAUGAUUUUGAUAANGGGNAAAUUUAUUACGGGAAUGAGGCUCCGCUAAAACGGCCUCGUGGCGUUUCUCNUUCACAACAGAGAGAAAGACAAAAAACACCCGAGGGAAGAUCGUAUGAUAACAGUACAGAAACAGGCGAUGGUAAAAAACGUCAUUCCGUCGGUCGGCAUAGUGAUCACUUCCAGUCAAGACAAUCCUAUCAAAAUUCAAAUUAUAGAAGUGAAAAGCGUAAUCGCCAUCAUGUUCGUGGCUUUGAUAACCCAGUCGACAUCACGCAUGAAAUGAGUAGCACAUAUGUAUGAAGACAUAAAAAAAAGACAGCAUCUUUCGCAAUAUUCCGCGUACUGUAAGAAGGUCUCUUCGAAAAUGCUCUCCGGUGCCAUCCAUUUUACUGGCAGCCUUCGGCGUUCCUG
This 2464-nucleotide unclassified non-coding RNA is filed under the name Exaiptasia diaphana. Its description in RNAcentral is "histamine H2 receptor, transcript variant X1". Lineage: Eukaryota; Metazoa; Cnidaria; Anthozoa; Actiniaria; Aiptasiidae. The record is from RNAcentral.